Molecule: microRNA precursor, 143 nt
Filed under: Gossypium hirsutum (cotton)
Lineage: Eukaryota; Viridiplantae; Streptophyta; Magnoliopsida; Malvales; Malvaceae
Also listed under: 1 other name
Description: MIR7502 microRNA precursor family
Rfam family: MIR7502 microRNA precursor family
Source: Rfam by way of RNAcentral
UAUUAAAGAUUAUAUUCAUUUUUACAGUUAAAAACUAGUUUCUUAUGUUAGCAUGAAAUACAUAUGGCACGUUACACAUAACUAUCUAGUUACUUUUCAUCUACAACAAUUUUUAACAGUAUAAAUAGAUGAAGUUUUUAACA